AUGCAGGUGAACAAUUUUUAAGUAGUUAUAUUUUUACUGUAAAGUAUUUUAUUUAUACACAUAUAUAUAUAUAUAUCACAGCAGAUACUUGGUUUUAGAAUGAAGCUGAGUAAUAAAAAUGAGUUAAAGCCUGUUUACCAAAAAAAGUAAAUAAGAAUAUUAAUAGUAUGAGAAUAUGGCAAAAAUCUUAAAGAUGGUAUAAGGAUGACUGAAGUUUGGAAAUCCCUAGUCUAUACUACAGACCCAGGAGUCACAUUCAGGCAGAACAGUGCUUAGGAUUUUUUUUUUUUUAACUAUGAAAAAUAUUAAGAAAAUUGAGACACAGGUCUGGGCUCAGGAAGCAUCCAUUUUUAUGCUUUGAGGUUAGCACAGUUUUAAACUUUCCUCCAUUUGUAGAUGGUAGCAAGGCUUCUAUCAUGGGUCUAAUAGUAUAUUUCUUACACAGUAGGGCAAUAGUAUGAGCACUGCACUGUUUUGUCCUGAAUAGAUAUAAUUGUGAUAUGUAUAUAUUUUCUUUAGGAAGGCAGGGGACUGUGUCAUAUUUCAGAAGAAAAGUUAUUUUAGCAAGUGAAUGAAAUAAAAGACUUAGUACAGAGAGUAAUUAAGUAAGAGUGCUACUUUUCAGCUCUGGAGAUAUUGUUACUCAUCAUGUAAUACUGUGCAAUUUUGGAAAGCCUGUAGUUUUCUAAAUUAGAAAAAAAAAAAGGAAAUCUCAAGAGGCGAUUGGCUUUAUUAGGUUGCUUGGUGACUCAAUUCAUCAUGUUUUUGGUGUUUUGUUAUUCCUUUACAGUGAAUUGUUGAGGUUUAUAGGACUGUUAUGUUUCUUUGUUGAGUAUCUCUACGUGGAGUAUCUCCAUGCUGUUGCCCUGUUGUUGAACCAUCCCCCUUUCUCCCAUCUUCACUGUGUCUGUUUUCUAUUAUUAUUUUUCUUUGAACUGUUUCUCAUUGCUUCUCUUGCUUCUUCUCAUCUUUAGUCAUUAUUUCUCUUAUCGUUUCCUUCUGUUGCCUUUGAAUUUUUGUCUCUUUUCUCUCCUUUUGCUAUUGUUUCUCCAUGCAUCUUUGUCAUAAUUGGUUUCCAAAGGCCAUUGCCAAUUCAUGGAUAUGCGUCCUUCUGAUUAAUGAACUUUGGGGGCUGAUAUUAUCCUCACUUAUUGAUUCUCCUGGAUUUUUGUUGAUGCGUUUGGAGACUUUUUUUUGGAACUUUCUGGCUCAUGACUCUUACAAGUAUGGGUAAGUAUGAGCAUUAUUGCAUGUUGUUUCUAAGAAGGCAUGUAGUCUAAAGCAUGACUUCUCUUCAGAAGUCUGUGGUAUAGUAGAGUCAGGGGCAGAGAAUGCUCAGGAAAUUGAUGAGAACCAGUGUACUGGCCCAAGAGCUAUAGCAGAGUGUGAGGCUGGGAAUGUUGGUUGUAAGUCAAAUUGUAUAGGGUUUGAAUAGGCUGUAGAGUUUAAACUUUAUUCUGCAAGUCCUAAGGAUAUUUUUGAACAAGAUUAGAUAUAUAUUUUAGCAGGUAACAUUGAUAACUAAAUAAGAUAUGUUGGAGUGGAGAGAAACUUGAGGCAGAGAGAACAAUGUCUUUGUAACAAUUACACCAAGAGGCAAUGAGGACUUGAACCGUUGCAUUCGUAUUGAGAGUAGAAAGGAAGAGGGAGAUGAAAGAGAAUAUGGAGGUAGGUUUGUGGUGGAUUGAAUAUGUCAGGAAAUGGGGGAUGGAAAAUGAAUUUGUGAUUUUGAACUUAGGACCCAGUAGGUAGGUGAUGUUCUUAACUAACAUAAGGAACAGAGGAGGAAGAAGUUUUCUGGGAAAAGAUGUUUGGUUCAUUAAAAAGCAAGUGGAGUGGGAUGUGUCUGUGGAAGAAAAGCCAUGUGAAGAUUUCCAGUUGGCAGGUGGCAGUGCAGAUAGAACUUGAGAAGUCGGGGUUAAAAGCCAUGCAUUGAGCUUUGCUUCCAUGAGAUUACCCUGUGGUCAAGGGGGCUGGAUAUAUAGUGUGUUAUAUAGCUUCCUAGGACAGAACCUUAGGGAAUGGUUCUUCACUAAGAAUGAAAAGGAGUGGCCAGAGAUAAUAGGAGUCUCACCAGAAGAGCGAGGGUGUUAACUAAAACCAAGGAAAAGAGAUGGUGUGGCCAACAGUUGCAGAUAUUGUUGGGGGGCCAGGAAGGCUGCCAACUGAAACAAAGUCCGUUGGAUAUAGCAACUAGAAACAUUGGCAACCCUGAGUGCUAAGCAACUCAGAAUUGCAGCUGAAAUUGGAGAGAAUUAGUAGUCUUUCUUAUAGGACAAAUCGAAUAUAACCACCUGCGACCCUUGGAAUCUGAUUUGAUUAAUAGCCUUGGCUGAAUGUUUUAAAAAUUGAAAACAAUUUUGUGAAUUAGCUACACUGUUUAAGAGAAUACAUAACCACUACUAUAUACAGUGUUAUAUGGCAAAUAUAUCACAGUAAAGCUGGGAGGGAAAAAGUUCAUCUUCCCUUACCCUCCCUAUUUUCACUAAAAUUGUGCCAGGCAAGCUAAGAUAUGUCUUAAGUCACAAACUAUGGGCCAGCGUUUCAUCUGUUAAAAAAAUGAGUUGCUUAUACUCUGUUACUUUAUAAAGCCAGCUCUAAAAUUUGUUUCUUCUAUUUUUUCCUUUUAUUAUGUCUUUUGUUGUCAUCUAGUUGACUCCUCAUAUCUGAGAACUUUUUUCCUUGUUUACCAUACUGGAAGUAACUUGGUUUUGGCGAUUCAAGAUUGUUUUGUUGACUCAUAACACAUACACUCUAGACAACAAAUAGUGGUAACUGAGAAGGCUGUGGUGAUUUGUCUCUAGUUUGCCAUGUGUUUAAGAUAAAAAUAUUCCCUUCACAGGUUUGCCUAAAAUUCUAUUACUGAUAAUCCUUUUAAAGUUUAACCUGGGUGUAAAUGGUUCACAGUUUGCUUUUGCAGAAAGUGAAAAAAAGAAAUCUUAAAAUAACUUUCUAAUUAUGAUCUGACUUGUCUAGCUGAUAGGAAAUCCAUGAAGGGGUAGUUAGGGCAUUGUUUUAUUUGUCUCAUAGUCUGGCUUAAAAGAAUCAUGGAAUUUCAGAGACUAACUAAAAGAAAUAUAGAAUGUCAGAACAUAAAGGAACCUUUAUUGCAGAAGAUUUAGACUGGGAAAAUGAAAGUAUUGAGCACAGAAAGGUAGAACAAAGAUACUAAAUAUUCAAAAUUAAAUAAUAUGAUAAAGUUGUAAACCAAAAAUCAUUUUCAAAACUUGUAUA
Molecule: long non-coding RNA, 3234 nt
Organism: Aethalodelphis obliquidens (Pacific white-sided dolphin)
Lineage: Eukaryota; Metazoa; Chordata; Mammalia; Artiodactyla; Delphinidae
Exons: 2
Source: RefSeq, a predicted model, not a curated record